UCCCUGGAGGACUAGUGGUUAGGCCACAGCGCUCUCGCUGCUGCGGCCCGGGUUCAGUUCCUGGCCAGGGAA
Molecule: transfer RNA, 72 nt
Filed under: Pangasianodon gigas (Mekong giant catfish)
Lineage: Eukaryota; Metazoa; Chordata; Actinopteri; Siluriformes; Pangasiidae
Description: tRNA-Glu
Rfam family: tRNA
About the family: Transfer RNA (tRNA) molecules are approximately 80 nucleotides in length. Their secondary structure includes four short double-helical elements and three loops (D, anti-codon, and T loops). Further hydrogen bonds mediate the characteristic L-shaped molecular structure. tRNAs have two regions of fundamental functional importance: the anti-codon, which is responsible for specific mRNA codon recognition, and the 3' end, to which the tRNAs corresponding amino acid is attached (by aminoacyl-tRNA synthetases). tRNAs cope with the degeneracy of the genetic code in two manners: having more than one tRNA (with a specific anti-codon) for a particular amino acid; and 'wobble' base-pairing, i.e. permitting non-standard base-pairing at the 3rd anti-codon position.
Source: RNAcentral